RNAcentral lists this ribosomal RNA (526 nucleotides) under Desmodorida environmental sample. RNAcentral's name for it is "SSU rRNA". It matches the Rfam family "Eukaryotic small subunit ribosomal RNA", at positions 21 to 549 of the family's 1831-position model. The record is from RNAcentral. Lineage: Eukaryota; Metazoa; Nematoda; Chromadorea; Desmodorida.
UGGUCAUAUGCUUGUCUCAAAGAUUAAGCCAUGCAUGUCUAAGCAUGAGCCAAUUUAUGGUGAAGCCGCGAAUGGCUCAUUACAACAGCUGUUGUUUCUUGGAUCUUGAUCUACUUGGAUAACUGUGGUAAUUCUAGAGCUAAUACAUGCAAUCAAGCUCCAACUGUAUGGAAGGAGCGCAUUUAUUAGAACAAGACCAAUCAGGUUUCGACCUGUAAACUGGUGACUCUGAAUAACUUUGCUGAUCACACAGUCCUAGCACUGGUGACAUAUCUUUCAAGUGUCUGCCCUAUCAACUUUCGAUGGUAGUUUAUGUGCCUACCAUGGUGGUAACGGGUAACGGAGAAUAAGGGUUCGACUCCGGAGAGGGAGCCUGAGAAAUGGCUACCACAUCCAAGGAAGGCAGCAGGCGCGCAAAUUACCCACUCUCAGUUUGAGGAGGUAGUGACGAAAAAUAACAAGACAGCUCUCUAUGAGGUCUGUCAUUGGAAUGGGUACAAUUUAAACCCUUUAACGAGGAUCUAUU